This is a long non-coding RNA of Podarcis raffonei (Aeolian wall lizard), 568 nucleotides long. RefSeq lists it as uncharacterized. Lineage: Eukaryota; Metazoa; Chordata; Lepidosauria; Squamata; Lacertidae. The record is from RefSeq and is a predicted model, not a curated record. The transcript is spliced from 3 exons.
UCUGGGAAGCCAGAGCCCUAACUCUGGUCCAGCAACAUCUGGAGGGCCCACAAGUUCCCCAUCCUGGUUGCUGAAGAAGUUAUGGAGCUGUGUCUGAGGAAGCUCUGGCUCAAAUCAAAGGGGGUUGGGAUUAAGGGGAGCUGCCACACAAUUUUACUCGCUGCGGUGCACAUGGGAAGCAAAGAAAUCUUGUCUACCACGCUCAUUAGCAACUGAACACCAGUUGCCAAACCAUGAUUGGCGAGAUCGGCUGGUGCUUGUCAGGAGAGCUGUCCAGCUUUUAUUCUCCUUCUGCUACCAUCUGGAAACUUCAUCUUCAAGGCUUGUUAAGUGACGUGAUUAAGAAGGUCAGCAUUAUCUACAUAGGACUGGGAAACCAGUGGCCCUCCAGAUCUUUGGCCAUGCUGGUGAGGGGUGAGGGGAACUGCAGUCCAACAUCAGUGGUAGAGAAAGGCCAAGCUGCGGUCCCUGCGUCCUGAAGUCAGCACAGCAAUUACAACAUCAUCAAGCGGGGGGGGGGGGGCAUUCAGAAUGCAAUUUAAGUGCAUGCCACAUAAGUGUCAUUGUG